UGGAAUGCGCAGAUAUCAGGAGGAACACCGAUGGCGAAGGCAGAUCUCUGGGCCGUAACUGACGCUGAGGAGCGAAAGGGUGGGGAGCAAACAGGCUUAGAUACCCUGGUAGUCCACCCCGUAAACGUUGGGAACUAGUUGUGGGGUCCAUUCCACGGAUUCCGUGACGCAGCUAACGCAUUAAGUUCCCCGCCUGGGGAGUACGGCCGCAAGGCUAAAACUCAAAGGAAUUGACGGGGACCCGCACAAGCGGCGGAGCAUGCGGAUUAAUUCGAUGCAACGCGAAGAACCUUACCAAGGCUUGACAUAUACGAGAACGGGCCAGAAAUGGUCAACUCUUUGGACACUCGUAAACAGGUGGUGCAUGGUUGUCGUCAGCUCGUGUCGUGAGAUGUUGGGUUAAGUCCCGCAACGAGCGCAACCCUCGUUCUAUGUUGCCAGCACGUAAUGGUGGGAACUCAUGGGAUACUGCCGGGGUCAACUCGGAGGAAGGUGGGGAUGACGUCAAAUCAUCAUGCCCCUUAUGUCUUGGGCUUCACGCAUGCUACAAUGGCCGGUACAAAGGGCUGCAAUACCGUGAGGUGGAGCGAAUCCCAAAAAGCCGGUCCCAGUUCGGAUUGAGGUCUGCAACUCGACCUCAUGAAGUCGGAGUCGCUAGUAAUCGCAGAUCAGCAACGCUGCGGUGAAUACGUUCCCGGGUCUUGUACACACCGCCCGUCAAGUCAUGAAAGUCGGUAACACCUGAAGCCGGUGGCCUAACCCUUGUGGAGGGAGCUGUCGAAGGUGG
RNAcentral lists this ribosomal RNA (787 nucleotides) under Microbacterium paraoxydans. Its description in RNAcentral is "bacterial SSU rRNA". It matches the Rfam family "Bacterial small subunit ribosomal RNA", at positions 682 to 1465 of the family's 1533-position model. Lineage: Bacteria; Bacillati; Actinomycetota; Actinomycetes; Micrococcales; Microbacteriaceae. The record is from RNAcentral.